CUAGAAUUAAAAAUUUAUAGUUGGAAGUAGUAGUGAAUGCUAUGAAUACCCAUUGAUCGCUAAGCACUACACAAUUGGGUCCGAGCACUGAGUGGUAAUGCAGAAUAAAGAAGCUAUUUGUGUGAUAUUGAAAAUGAUUCCCAGCUCAUGAUCAUUAAAUGAUGUAUCCAAUCAUAAAGCUUCCUAGCCCAAUCAAAAGCAUAAAUUUAAUUUGACAUAGCAAUAAUUUGAGAAAAAUGGAAAGGAUGGCUGACAACAACUUUCACAACGAAGACAAGCAGGCUAGUGUUUGUUAGUUUCCCUGUUGACAUCAUAAGCUACUUUUGCUUGCACAUAUCAAGGAGGAUACCCUACACCUUUCAAGAGUUAUCUACAUUAGAUGCUAACAAUGAGGAUACCCUACACCUUUCAAGAGUUAUCUACAUUAGAUGCUAACAAUGUAUGUUCCAUAUGUUUUGAAAUUUCAUGAGGAAAAACAAUGUCAAAAUCUGCAUUUAUAAAGAACAAAUCAGACGAUAAUUGCAUAUGCAAACAUGCUACAAACUCAGGCGUUCUAUUCAUUCACACCAACCCACCCUCACAUUAAGUUCUAUUCGGCAUUCUCCAUGAGCAAAGAAAGUUAGACGAACUUUGUCAUAUGUGGAGGGAAGGCUGUAUUUUGGCAACGAUCACAUCAAUCAGCCAAUUCAUCAAGCCCAUAGUCCUCACCAAAAUAUCUAUCAACCAAACCAUUUGCCAUGUUUCUCAGAUCUUCAUUCUCAUGAAACUGAAAUCUUUCCAUGGCUUCGAUCCCAUCCUCUUGUUCAACAAGCUUUGGGCCCUCACCAUUUGGCAUCCCCCUUAAAACCAGCUCUAUAAAUUGAAGACCUAGUCUUGCAGCCUCUGUAUCAACGGAUCUAACCAAGUCAAUAAAAGCAGGAAGGCAUCCUCUACCAACAAGGGGAACUAAGUGCUCCAAAAUCAGGUCUGGCUUUCCAUUGCCUUCUGCUGGGGCAACACAGAGAUUACCCAAAACAUAAGCUACUUCUUUUCUUAUGUCGAAGGGUGCUGUUGAAAGAAGCCGCAAUAGUAGUGGCACUGCCUCACUAGAAUAGACGAACUGUUUGUGCUCAACUGAACCGGCAGCUAUAUUAGAUAACACCCAUGCAGCUUCCUUCUUCAAGACUCGAUGUUCACUCUUCAAACAUUUUACCAGGACCUCAAUAAUAUUAUCUGUGAUUUCACGUCCAGGAAUAAGAAUAGCAGAAAUUGUGUGAGAAUCACCAGCUAUAAGAUUACCUAAACUUCUCAGCAACGGAAUGAGCAAUUGCAAGCUGUUUGAUGUUGCUAAUCUUUGUAUGAGCAGUUGAAGAACAUCACUUUUCACCAGCAUAUUGGUAGCAAAAUUUGAGAGGGCUGAAAGAUACACGACUACCCAUGCUACUUCAGUUGCCAACUCCUCAUCCGCUUUUCUCAAGUGCCGACAUAUUGCAUCCAGUACCCCAUCAACUCGAAUGAGUUCUGUUGCAGCUUUAGAAUCCGGUCCCUUGAUUAGGUUUGAUAAUGCCCAAGCAGCUGUUCUAACGGUUGAACCCUUGUUUGGUAGCAUCAUUCUAGCAAUAGGCAGUAAGGCUCCUUGGGCUAGCAAAACAUUCCUCAAAUCUUCCCCUUCUCCAGCAACAUUUCCCAAUGCCCAUGCACACUGCUCAGCAACAGGCAAAGAACUCUUUUCUCCAAGGUGUGCAAUAAGCAAUGGUAAUGCAGGCAGUAAAGCCUUUGUUUCUUCUGGUUUUCCUGCUGCUAUGUUUGUAAGGCACCAAGCUGCCUCAAGCAACUGUUCAUCAGGAGAGCCAAAUGAAAGGCACUGCACAAGUAGCGGAACUGCUCCAGCUUUAAGAGCAGCUUCAACAGGAGGGAAUUCAGAUCUUGACAGCAAACGCCUUAGUUCACGAAGUGCACCAACUUUCUUCUGCAUUGCACCUUUUCCUUGAAAAGCAAUAGCAGACUUCAACUCUUCCACUGCCGACAAAGUUUGAGCCUCCAGAAUCGAUUGCUCUUCGUCAAUCAUCAUGUCACUGUCAAGAGGAAUAUCACUAUCACCACUAAUCCCUACUCUGCAAAGGCGCUUUGCCCGCACUAAUGAUUCUCUCCUUUCCUUACCCACAGCCACAGCAUUCUGCCGUCUCUUCUGUGCCGCAACACUCCCAACUGAAGACUUGAUAGGGUCUCUUUUAUGAGAAGCCAAUCCAUCUUCAGCCAUUAUAGAAAGCUUUUGAGAAAGCAGAGAAGUGUUUGUGCAGCGGUAAGGUUUUGAAUGAGCAGAAAUGGGAACAGAAAACCCCCAAAAUGACAACGAUUCUCUGCAAUUCACUCGCCCAAGCGCCAAAACUCACGGCCUUUGAUCAAUUGCUAAUUUAUUCUUCGCAAAAUGCACAAAG
This 2417-nucleotide unclassified non-coding RNA is filed under the name Hevea brasiliensis (rubber tree). The record is from RNAcentral. Lineage: Eukaryota; Viridiplantae; Streptophyta; Magnoliopsida; Malpighiales; Euphorbiaceae.